This 1468-nucleotide long non-coding RNA is filed under the name Betta splendens (Siamese fighting fish). Its description in RNAcentral is "lncRNA (ENSBSLG00000004224.1)". The record is from RNAcentral. Lineage: Eukaryota; Metazoa; Chordata; Actinopteri; Anabantiformes; Osphronemidae.
AUGAGGGGUCCCCACAUAAAACAGGGUGGGCGUCAAAACCUUAACGACCAUAACCCGGCUUUGACCCUCCACCCAGAACCUCCGUGCCCAGCAGCCCAGCCUCAAGUGUCCAACAUAAUUAAGCACAGUGUGACCGUGAGCUGGACGCCUCCAGCCCUACGAUGGAGGAGCUCCAGUUCUGGGCUGCGUCCUGGAGAAGAGGAAGAAAGGCAGCACCAUGUGGACUUGCUCACAGACACGUCUUACUCAGUGGGAGGACUGGUGAGUGAGGUGGAGUACGAGUUCCGAGUCACCAGCGUGAACAGGGCUGGAGCAGGAAGCCCCAGCAGCGUCGCUAACCCAGCGCUGGCCAAAGACCCCCCCCACAGGAGUUGUUUACCCCCUCACCGUGGGGGGCUUCGGAAGAAGAAAAGGUACCACUUCCACGUCCGGGCUGUGAGUGAAGGCGGGCUGGGGGAGCCCACUUAGCUGCUGUAGGGGGCGCUGGCAAUGCCCCCACCUGGUAACAUAAGAAGUAUAAAAACAUCACAUUACUUGUUAUUUCAUGGGGACAUUGUCUUCUCUUUAUUUAGUUUAUUUCCUGUUUCAUGUUCUAUUCAGUGGCUCCCAGGUUUUACCUGCGGUGAAAGCUGAGGCCCCAAAUGGUGGUUUGAGCUGGGUUCUCCCAGAUCUCCCCUGGCCGCCAGAGAACCUGAGCACUGACGAUGUGAUCCUCAAACGGGACACCCCCCCUUCCUAAUGUGUCUUCAGCAGCAAGUACACCAUCCUGGUUCUCAUGGGGCGCAAGCGCUGACCCACGGUGGUCCACUCUGACCUCGGGUGCUGUCUCUGUGGCUGCUGCAGCUCUGCCUGGGGGGCUCUGUGUGAGCGGCUUGGGUGGCAACACCUGCCCUCCUGGAACUGAAGGUGCGUGGGCUCCCUGGCUGCUAGGAUUCUUUCCUCUGCUUGUUGGAUGGGCGUAGUGGCUCAUCAUGGCUAUUAUUAAGUAGUAUGACAUUAUGUAUAACUAUAUGUAUGUAUACGAUAUAUAUAAGUAUGUGCACAUACCUUAACACUAUUAUUGGUAUUAGUAUUAAUCUCCAAGGUAAACCACAGUACAGCAGUUGUUUAGUUAUGAAUGUGUUAGCCCAAGGUAAAUCCCUGCUCAUUUAUUUUGCACCGAUUGUUUGCUUAACUGAGUUGCUUGGUUUCGGCAGCUGGUUGGUUCAGCGUAACACAUGCUGCUUGUUGAACUGCUGGACAGAACAACAAAAAAAGUAUACCAUUACUGGGCUGCUUCCUGGGAGGAGGUACUACUUCAGGGUUCACUAUUGGGGACAGUGAAUUGUUGGACACAAAGGAAACUUUGGUCAUAGCCAAGGAAAAAGGUGAGUCAGCAGACAUUAGUCCAGAUUGAUAAUACAAGCUCUUAUCCCCAGUUUAUUUUGUGUUUUGUCUGACAUUUGUGUAUAUAUUCAUAUCUCUCUUA